GACGAACGCUGGCGGCGUGCUUAACACAUGCAAGUCGAACGGAAAGGCCCUGCUUUUGUGGGGUGCUCGAGUGGCGAACGGGUGAGUAACACGUGAGUAACCUGCCCUUGACUUUGGGAUAACUUCAGGAAACUGGGGCUAAUACCGGAUAGGAGCUCCUGCUGCAUGGUGGGGGUUGGAAAGUUUCGGCGGUUGGGGAUGGACUCGCGGCUUAUCAGCUUGUUGGUGGGGUAGUGGCUUACCAAGGCUUUGACGGGUAGCCGGCCUGAGAGGGUGACCGGCCACAUGGGGACUGGGGUACGGCCCAGACUCCUACGGGAGGCAGCAGUGGGAAUAUUGCACAAUGGGCGGAAGCCUGAUGCAGCAACGCCGCGUGCGGGAUGACGGCCUUCGGGUUGUAAACCGCUUUCGCCUGUGACGAAGCGUGAGUGACGGUAAUGGGUAAAGAAGCACCGGCUAACUACGUG
Molecule: ribosomal RNA, 467 nt
Filed under: uncultured bacterium
Lineage: Bacteria
Description: partial 16S ribosomal RNA
Rfam family: Bacterial small subunit ribosomal RNA
Source: RNAcentral